UGAGGGGUGCGGGCAAGGCGUGCUGCAAAUUGCUUUGUACUGGGAUUUCUUGGCCAACGCAAAUAUCUUUAUCGAUAAGAUCAAUUUAGAUGGAGCUGACUACCUAAUGUUAGAUGAGAGCAGAUCCUCUGUCUCAAUUUUUCCUGUCCUUCUUGUGUCUUCCCACUUAAAUUUUGACACCUAGCCUUUUAUUUAAUUUUAAAGUUAAUUAGUGUUAAGUAGGAGGUUAGAUGUCAAAAUUUAAGUGAGGGGACACAGGAAACAGGGAAAAUGGGGACAAAGCUCUCAUGUUAGAUGGGUUUCAAUGGAGAAGAAAGUCACUUGACAUUCCCAAAAUGGGUAUUGUCGAUUUUGGCAUUCAGCCUACCUUGGAGGGCAUCUAAGACGGUUAGUAUAUUAUGUUGCAAGUCCUGUUUGUCAUUCUAUGUACUCGAUGAUGAUUUAGUGCUGAAUUGUUCACAAAGCC
RNAcentral lists this long non-coding RNA (466 nucleotides) under Panax ginseng (ginseng). RNAcentral's name for it is "long non-coding RNA (PGIN_LNC018857)". The record is from RNAcentral. Lineage: Eukaryota; Viridiplantae; Streptophyta; Magnoliopsida; Apiales; Araliaceae.